Molecule: ribosomal RNA, 374 nt
Filed under: uncultured Bacteroidales bacterium
Lineage: Bacteria; Pseudomonadati; Bacteroidota; Bacteroidia; Bacteroidales
Description: bacterial SSU rRNA
Rfam family: Bacterial small subunit ribosomal RNA
Source: RNAcentral
GCUCAGGAUGAACGCUAGCUACAGGCUUAACACAUGCAAGUCGAGGGGUAGCAGGGUAGCAAUACCGCUGACGACCGGCGCACGGGUGAGUAACACGUAUCCAACCUUCCCAUAACUCGGGGAUAGCCUUUCGAAAGAAAGAUUAAUACCUGAUAGUACUUAAGAAAGGCAUCUUUUUUAAGUUAAAGAUUUAUUGGUUAUGGAUGGGGAUGCGUUCCAUUAGAUAGUUGGUGAGGUAACGGCUCACCAAGUCUUCGAUGGAUAGGGGUUCUGAGAGGAAGGUCCCCCACAUUGGUACUGAGACACGGACCAAACUCCUACGGGAGGCAGCAGUGAGGAAUAUUGGUCAAUGGGCGAGAGCCUGAACCAGCCAA